RNAcentral lists this long non-coding RNA (3624 nucleotides) under Homo sapiens (human). Its description in RNAcentral is "HSALNT0326981". The record is from RNAcentral. Lineage: Eukaryota; Metazoa; Chordata; Mammalia; Primates; Hominidae.
UCCAGGGUGGGAGGAUCCACUUCCAAAACGUCUCACUCACAUGACUAUUGGCAGAAAGCCUCAGUUCCUUGAAAAUGUGGACUUCUCUGCAGGCCUUCUGGAGUGUCCUCCUGACAGCAACUGGCCUUUCCCAGAGAGAGUGAUCCAACAGAGAGAGCAAGUAGGAUAUAGCUGCGCCUUUCAUGACAGCCUCAGAAGCCACAAAUCACCGUGUCUGCUAUGUUUUAUUCAUCAGAAGUGAGUCGCUGAGUCCAACCAUAUUCACAGGGAGGCAAAGUAAGCUCUACCUCUUAAAGGAAAGGAGUAUCCAAGAAUUUGUGGAUAUAUUUUAAAACGGCCACAGACCUCAGAUGGACAGAAUUCAACUCAUCACAUUUCUUGGUUCUUGACACGCUCUCCUCGUUAGUCCAUCACAUAUUGCACGGAUUCAUUCAUAUCGCUGCAUGUAGGCUGCUUUGACCUGCUGUAGAAUAUCUCAUUGUGUGGAUGCACAUGUGGAUCACUGAGUAUGUCAGAGCUGGCAAGAUACGUCAGAAGAGAAAGGAGAAACUCUUAACUAAAUAGAGUUGGAAAUAAAAUAAUUGUCUGUAUGGAAUAAGAUCAAAGGUCCCACAUGUUAAAGUCAACCCCAGAUGAAUUAAAGUCUUACAUGUCAAAAAAAAUUGAAACUUUUAGAAGAAAAUUAAGGUGGAUAUAUUUUAGACCUUAAGGUAGAGAAAGAUUUCUUAAAGAAGACACUUACAGGAUUGAUUACAAACAAAAAGACUGGUACAUUUGAAUGUAUUAUGUUAAGAACUUUUCCACCAAAAGAAAGCCUCGAUUUCCUCAUUUUUAAGAUGAGGAUAAUAAUCCCUACCUUAUAGAAUUCUAAUAAGAUGAAAUGAAGCAACAUAUACAAAAUACUUAGCACAGAUCCUAACACCUACAAAAUAAUAAAUGGUAACGAUUAUUAUUCUUCUCAAACAACAAUCCUAUUAUUUAUCAAAUAAUACUGAGUAAUAUGACAAGACAUAUUUAAACCACACAAGCCAUAUGCAGACAAGUGUUUAAUAUCAUAGUGAUAGUUUCAAGAGAGAGAUAAUAAUUUAUUCUACAUUUAUCAGAGGUCUAUAGCCCAGUAGUCAAUAAAUACUUAUCUAUAGUCAAUAAGUACUAUCAAGCAUCCAUGCCAGGAACCAUGCUAGGGGCUGAUUAAUUUACAUCAAUCACCAUGACUUUUUUCCCACAAACUAACACACACACAAUCUUCAUAGAUUUUUCUGUGAUCACAGCAAGGAAAAGACCUACGCAUGUUUGGAUCAUCUGUGUACAGUCCUACAGAAGAACUUUGACACUAUCAGAGACAGAAAUCUCAGAAUAGUCCAACUCUCACUUAUUUGUGCUAAUGAAAGAGUAAAGUAAAAGAGACAAUUAAAAUGGGAAAUGUGUUUUGUUUUGUUUUGGUGUUUUGUUUUACAAGUAUGCAAAAACCUCAAAUCAACCUGACCCAACAAUAAGGAAGCAAGUCAGAAAAAGGCAGUCUUCCAGAGCUGUUUGUUCAGCAGCUCAGUAAUGCCAUGAAGGUUUGCUUCCUUUCUCUGCUUUGUGUUUCUGGAGAGAGUCCGCAUACAUUUCAAUAUGGCUGACAGCAGUUCUGGAAUGUAUAAAGCCUUGCAUAAAGAAAAUGACAGUUCACUAUGAAAAUCUGAUUCGGAUGAUGUUGAAAAUAGAUUUAGUGUCUGCUCUGCCUCUCUGUUUUCUAGGACUUCACCACCUCACAGACUUUGUACACUCAUGGUUCACAACUUCCUCACUGUGUUUUCUUUAACGAGUAGAAGAUAAAUAAGCUUUAAGAAAUAGUAAAUUAUAUCAAAAUAGACUUUAUCAUAUAAUUUGCCUAAUUAUGUACCUUCAGUAAGUGUUUAUUGAACUCUGGGGUGUCAACAAUUUUUUAUUCAGCUCUCAUAAGUAAUAUUUGCUUAGAAAUCUACCCAUAAAUAGGAUAACAACUUUCAUAAAACAAGAAUUUAUACCUAGCUAACAUGAAAAAGCUAAACAUCCCUUGAAGUACAAUUCUCCUGAAAAUCAUCCCAAUAUGGUUUAUUGAGGCUGAUGGAUUUGGACACCAGCUCUUAAGAAAAAAGAUAAAGAGGAAAGCUACUGCCUGCCACAACAUAUUCUUUUUCCCAAGAGCUGGCUUCAGAAGGUGAACCCAGAGAGCAGGCUGUUUCUGUCCAUGGGAAAGCAGGAUGGUACAGCCCAUAUCUGAUUCAGAAACCAACAGUCAAACCAUUCUCCCCUGAGACUAAAGCAGAGAAUGAAGCCAUUUCCCAGAAAUUUGGGUAUUUAAAAAAUCACCCUGGCCUGGGUUACAGGGUAAUUGUCCCAUAUCUAUGUUUCACCUGCAGAUUCAUGGGACAGAAUUAUUUCCCAAAUCUAGCUCCAUGCUCCUGCCCUGACUUAAGUCAGGGAAUACUUGGUAUGUAGUAGCAUUUAUUAUUUCACGUUCAAAAUAUCUCAAAGCCUUGAAAACUGUAACGUAUUAAACGGAAAUUUGGUAGGCAUUGCUUCGCACAAUCCCAUGAUGCCAGCUUGCUAGCAUGGAUAUGCCCAGGGCACCCUACCAGAUGCUGGACACAAAAGCUCAACAUGGUAGUUCUUCCCUGCAAGGGUUCACAGCCCAGUGGAGGAGAUCGUCAGGUGAGUAAAUCAUCCUACUGUACAGCCACGAUGUGCAGAGGACUCAGAGGAGGGAGUGAAACUGCCACUCCCAGGCCCAUGUCUCAGACCAACCCUUCCCCUCCAGCCAGUUGUGUAGACUGCACCUCUUCUCUCCCUCCUCAGUGAAUACAGGCUAAGGAACGCAGGCUUCUCUUACCCAGGUUCCCUGAACUGCUUUUUUUAGCCCAUCUCAUCUUCUUCUGGUUUUGUUCAAUUUUCUGCCAGCUUUUUUAUCCGGCUCACUUAUCUCCCUUUAUCCCUCAGAACCAUCUCCAGUAAUUCCAUUGACUGGCAGGACAUUUUUCCAUCAGAGAGUAGAGCUGAGCUGCUGCAGUGCCACGGCCACCUCCCAGCAACAACCCCUCCGACCCCAGCAGACCCACUACCUGGCUCUUUCGGUCAGUGGGGACUUUUCAGAUGGUAUCUCUUUUAUUUUAGCUUUUUAAUUUCUGGCUGCCAGGCUUUCUUUUCUUAACUACGUUUGGAGCAGCAUUUUGCACAUCACAGAAGCCAUGCCAGUUUUAAGGUGAGUUAGGAUUCUGCAGGGGAAUCCCAUUAUUUUGAUUCCCUCAUCAAAGCAGGGCUAAGUUUAACCCCUUGCAAAUAUGAAAAUGAAAAGGACAGAGGAGUGUAUUGUCAUGGAAAAGGCACCAAAUUAGUCACCAGGGAACUGGACACAGGUCCCGGCCCCACAACUGACUCUGCCAUGGGAUUUUAGGCAAGACACCUCACCUUUCUGACUCCAAAAUAGUAUGCCUGUUAGUCUUCCUCAUGAUGAAGUUGGAAGAAUCAAAUAUAUUGACUGCUAUAAACAUACCUCAUAAACUGUAAAGCACUGUUCAGUCAACUUAAAGACCCAUGCCAAACCUAGGGACACUGGGCAGCAUGUCCUUCUGAAUAAGCACAUAAGCUCCAUGAGAGCAA